AUACGUAGGGGGCAAGCGUUAUCCGGAUUUACUGGGUGUAAAGGGCGUGUAGGCGGUUUAGCAAGUCAGAAGUGAAAUUCCCGGGCUUAACUAGGGCGCUGCUUCUGAAACUGCUUUACUUGAGUGCUGGAGAGGAUAGUGGAAUUCCUAGUGUAGCGGUAAAAUGCGCAGAUAUUAGGAGGAACACCGGUGGCGAAGGCGGCUAUCUGGACAGUAACUGACGCUGAGGCGCGAAAGCACGGGGAGCAAACAGGAUUAGAUACCCUGGUAGUCCGUGCCGUAAACGAUGAAUACUAGGUGUAGGGGGUAUCGACUCCCUCUGUGCCGCAGUUAACACAUUAAGUAUUCCACCUGGGGAGUACGGCCGCAAGGUUGAAACUCAAAUGAAUUGACGGGG
Molecule: ribosomal RNA, 397 nt
Filed under: uncultured bacterium
Lineage: Bacteria
Description: partial 16S ribosomal RNA
Rfam family: Bacterial small subunit ribosomal RNA
Source: RNAcentral